CAGCUAGUUGGUAGGGUAAAAGCCUACCAAGGCGACGAUCAGUAGCUGGUUUGAGAGAACGACCAGCCACACUGGGACUGAGACACGGCCCAGACUCCUACGGGAGGCAGCAGUGGGGAAUUUUGGACAAUGGGGGCAACCCUGAUCCAGCAAUGCCGCGUGAGUGAAGAAGGCCUUCGGGUUGUAAAGCUCUUUUGUCAGGGAAGAAACGGCGGUUUCUAAUACAGAUCGCUAAUGACGGUACCUGAAGAAUAAGCACCGGCUAACUACGUGCCAGCAGCCGCGGUAAUACGUAGGGUGCAAGCGUUAAUCGGAAUUACUGGGCGUAAAGCGUGCGCAGGCGGUUAUAUAAGUCAGAUGUGAAAUCCCCGGGCUCAACCUGGGAACUGCAUUUGAGACUGUAUGGCUAGAGUGUGUCAGAGGGGGGUAGAAUUCCACGUGUAGCAGUGAAAUGCGUAAUAUGUGGAGGAAUACCGAUGGCGAAGGCAGCCCCCUGGGAUAACACUGACGCUCAUGCACGAAAGCG
RNAcentral lists this ribosomal RNA (526 nucleotides) under uncultured beta proteobacterium. RNAcentral describes it as "SSU rRNA". It matches the Rfam family "Bacterial small subunit ribosomal RNA", at positions 242 to 761 of the family's 1533-position model. Lineage: Bacteria; Pseudomonadati; Pseudomonadota; Betaproteobacteria. The record is from RNAcentral.